RNAcentral lists this ribosomal RNA (253 nucleotides) under uncultured bacterium. RNAcentral's name for it is "partial 16S ribosomal RNA". It matches the Rfam family "Bacterial small subunit ribosomal RNA", at positions 524 to 776 of the family's 1533-position model. The record is from RNAcentral.
UACAGAGGUGGCAAGCGUUGUUCGGAAUUACUGGGCGUAAAGGGCGCGUAGGCGGCCUUCUCAGUCGGACGUGAAAUCCCCAGGCUUAACUUGGGAACUGCGUCCGAUACUGGAUGGCUUGAGUGCGGGAGAGGGAUGUGGAAUUCCAGGUGUAGCGGUGAAAUGCGUAGAUAUCUGGAGGAACACCGGUGGCGAAGGCGGCAUCCUGGACCGACACUGACGCUGAGGCGCGAAAGCCAGGGGAGCAAACGGG